This 492-nucleotide ribosomal RNA is filed under the name uncultured bacterium. RNAcentral describes it as "partial 16S ribosomal RNA". It matches the Rfam family "Bacterial small subunit ribosomal RNA", at positions 29 to 507 of the family's 1533-position model. The record is from RNAcentral.
AGUGAACGCUGGCGGUAGGCCUAACACAUGCAAGUCGAACGGCAGCACAGUAAGAGCUUGCUCUUACGGGUGACGAGUGGCGGACGGGUGAGGAAUACAUCGGAAUCUACUUUUUCGUGGGGGAUAACGUAGGGAAACUUACGCUAAUACCGCAUACGACCUACGGGUGAAAGCAGGGGAUCUUCAGACCUUGCGCGAUUGAAUGAGCCGAUGUCGGAUUAGCUAGUUGGCGGGGUAAAGGCCCACCAAGGCGACGAUCCGUAGCUGGUCUGAGAGGAUGAUCAGCCACACUGGAACUGAGACACGGUCCAGACUCCUACGGGAGGCAGCAGUGGGGAAUAUUGGACAAUGGGCGCAAGCCUGAUCCAGCCAUACCGCGUGGGUGAAGAAGGCCUUCGGGUUGUAAAGCCCUUUUGUUGGGAAAGAAAAGCAGCAGGUUAAUACCCCGCUGUUCUGACGGUACCCAAAGAAUAAGCACCGGCUAACUUCGUG